Molecule: long non-coding RNA, 356 nt
Organism: Marmota flaviventris (yellow-bellied marmot)
Lineage: Eukaryota; Metazoa; Chordata; Mammalia; Rodentia; Sciuridae
Source: RefSeq, a predicted model, not a curated record
CUGACACCGUCCACCAAAGAACCAAAGGCGACCGGAAGUGAAGGGCGGGACCGGAACCGGCUGACGAACCGGAAGUGGGUGCCGCAGGGGCCACCGACGCUGAUCAUUUCGGGGGCUCAGAAUGUUGCCGAAUCUAAGAGGAACCUGAGGAGCGUCAGGAAAGGGAAGGGGCAGCCUGCUUGACUCGGAGACCCAGGAAGCACAUGUGAAUAUGAGAGCUGCCAAUCACAUUACUACUUUGCAUCGUAUCUCAUCUCCACUUUCCCAUCACAUCCCCAUUACUUUCCCCCCUUGAAUGCAAGGAAAGCCAGUUACCCCGACAAAAGAAUUUAAGAAUUAAAUGGAAAGUCAGAGCA